UACGUAGGGUGCGAGCGUUGUCCGGAAUUAUUGGGCGUAAAGAGCUCGUAGGCGGUCUGUCACGUCGGAUGUGAAAACUCGGGGCUCAACCCCGAGCCUGCAUUCGAUACGGGCAGACUAGAGUUCGGUAGGGGAGACUGGAAUUCCUGGUGUAGCGGUGAAAUGCGCAGAUAUCAGGAGGAACACCAAUGGCGAAGGCAGCACUCUGGGACGGUACUGACGCUGAGACGCGAAAGCGUGGGGAGCAAACAGG
RNAcentral lists this ribosomal RNA (253 nucleotides) under uncultured bacterium. RNAcentral describes it as "partial 16S ribosomal RNA". It matches the Rfam family "Bacterial small subunit ribosomal RNA", at positions 524 to 776 of the family's 1533-position model. The record is from RNAcentral.